CAGUAGCCGCGGUAAUACGAAGGUCCCGAGCGUUGUUCGGAAUCACUGGGCGUAAAGGGAGCGUAGGCGGCGUGGUAAGUCAGGUGUGAAAUCCCGGGGCUCAACCCCGGAACUGCAUCCGAUACUGCCAUGCUAGAGGAUUGGAGAGGUAGCUGGAAUUCUUGGUGUAGCAGUGAAAUGCGUGGAGAUCAAGAGGAACACUCGUGGCGAAAGCGAGCUACUGGACAAUAACUGACGCUGAGGCUCGAAGGCCAGGGUAGCGAAAGGGAUUAGAUACCCCCGUAGUCCCUGUCUCUUAUAC
Molecule: ribosomal RNA, 301 nt
Filed under: uncultured bacterium
Lineage: Bacteria
Description: partial 16S ribosomal RNA
Rfam family: Bacterial small subunit ribosomal RNA
Source: RNAcentral